RNAcentral lists this ribosomal RNA (2903 nucleotides) under Providencia rettgeri. Its description in RNAcentral is "23S ribosomal RNA". It matches the Rfam family "Bacterial large subunit ribosomal RNA". Lineage: Bacteria; Pseudomonadati; Pseudomonadota; Gammaproteobacteria; Enterobacterales; Morganellaceae. The record is from RNAcentral.
UUAAGCGACUAAGCGUACACGGUGGAUGCCUAGGCAAUCAGAGGCGAUGAAGGACGUGCUAAUCUGCGAUAAGCGUCGGUAAGGUGAUAUGAACCGUUACAACCGACGAUUUCCGAAUGGGGAAACCCAGUGCAAUUCGUUGCACUAUCGUUUGAUGAAUACAUAGUCAAACGAAGCGAACCGGGGAACUGAAACAUCUCAGUACCCCGAGGAAAAGAAAUCAACCGAGAUUCCCCUAGUAGCGGCGAGCGAACGGGGAGCAGCCCAGAGUCUUAAUCAGCAUUAGCAUCAGGAGAACGGUCUGGAAAGUCCGGCAGUAAAGGGUGAUAGCCCCGUAUCCGAAGGUGUUAGUGUUGUGAACUCGACGAGUAGGGCGGGACACGUGUUAUCCUGUCUGAAUAUGGGGGGACCAUCCUCCAAGGCUAAAUACUCCUGAUUGACCGAUAGUGAACCAGUACCGUGAGGGAAAGGCGAAAAGAACCCCGGCGAGGGGAGUGAAAUAGAACCUGAAACCGUGUACGUACAAGCAGUGGGAGCCUUGAUUUAUCAGGGUGACUGCGUACCUUUUGUAUAAUGGGUCAGCGACUUAUAUUCUGUAGCAAGGUUAACCGUAUAGGGGAGCCGUAGGGAAACCGAGUCUUAACUGGGCGAAUAAGUUGCAGGGUAUAGACCCGAAACCCGGUGAUCUAGCCAUGGGCAGGUUGAAGGUUGGGUAACACUAACUGGAGGACCGAACCGACUAAUGUUGAAAAAAUUAGCGGAUGACUUGUGGCUGGGGUGAAAGGCCAAUCAAACCGGGAGAUAGCUGGUUCUCCCCGAAAGCUAUUUAGGUAGCGCCUCGUGAACUCAUCUUCGGGGUAGAGCACUGUUUCGACUAGGGGUCAUCCCGACUUACCAACUCGAUGCAAACUACGAAUACCGAAGAAUGUUAUCACGGGAGACACACGGCGGGUGCUAACGUUCGUCGUGAAGAGGGAAACAACCCAGACCGCCAGCUAAGGUCCCAAAGUCAUAGUUAAGUGGGAAACGAAGUGGGAAGGCUCAGACAGCCAGGAUGUUGGCUUAGAAGCAGCCAUCAUUUAAAGAAAGCGUAAUAGCUCACUGGUCGAGUCGGCCUGCGCGGAAGAUGUAACGGGGCUAAACUAUGCACCGAAGCUGCGGCAGCGAUAUUUAGAUAUUGUUGGGUAGGGGAGCGUUCUGUAAGCCUGUGAAGGUGUGCUGUGAGGCAUGCUGGAGGUAUCAGAAGUGCGAAUGCUGACAUAAGUAACGAUAAUGCGGGUGAAAACCCGCACGCCGGAAGACCAAGGGUUCCUGUCCAACGUUAAUCGGGGCAGGGUGAGUCGACCCCUAAGGCGAGGCAGAAAUGCGUAGUCGAUGGGAAACGGGUUAAUAUUCCCGUACUGGUGAUAAUUUGCGGGGGGGACGGAGAAGGCUAGGCUAUCCGGGCGACGGUUGUCCCGGUUUAAGGAUGUAGGCAGGUGAAUUAGGCAAAUCCGGUUCACUAUAUGCUGAGGUCCGAUGACGAGUCACUACGGUGAUGAAGUAGCUCAUGCCCCGCUUCCAGGAAAAGCCUCUAAGCUCUAGAUUAUCAUUAAUCGUACCCCAAACCGACACAGGUGGUCAGGUAGAGAAUACUCAGGCGCUUGAGAGAACUCGGGUGAAGGAACUAGGCAAAAUGGUGCCGUAACUUCGGGAGAAGGCACGCUGGCAUUAGGUGAAGUGAUUUACUCAUGGAGCUGAAGCCAGUCGCAGAUACCAGCUGGCUGCAACUGUUUAUUAAAAAAACACAGCACUGUGCAAACACGAAAGUGGACGUAUACGGUGUGACGCCUGCCCGGUGCUGGAAGGUUAAUUGAUGGGGUUAUCCGUAAGGAGAAGCUCUUGAUCGAAGCCCCAGUAAACGGCGGCCGUAACUAUAACGGUCCUAAGGUAGCGAAAUUCCUUGUCGGGUAAGUUCCGACCUGCACGAAUGGCGUAAUGAUGGCCAGGCUGUCUCCACCCGAGACUCAGUGAAAUUGAACUCGCUGUGAAGAUGCAGUGUACCCGCGGCAAGACGGAAAGACCCCGUGAACCUUUACUAUAGCUUGACACUGAACAUUGAGCCUUGAUGUGUAGGAUAGGUGGGAGGCUUUGAAGCGUGGACGCCAGUCUGCGUGGAGCCAACCUUGAAAUACCACCCUUUAAUGUUUGAUGUUCUAACGUUGCCCCAUUAUCUGGGGUGCGGACAGUGUCUGGUGGGUAGUUUGACUGGGGCGGUCUCCUCCCAAAGAGUAACGGAGGAGCACGAAGGUUGGCUAAGCAUGGUCGGACAUCAUGCGGUUAGUGCAAAGGCAUAAGCCAGCUUGACUGCGAGAGUGACGGCUCGAGCAGGUACGAAAGUAGGUCUUAGUGAUCCGGUGGUUCUGAAUGGAAGGGCCAUCGCUCAACGGAUAAAAGGUACUCCGGGGAUAACAGGCUGAUACCGCCCAAGAGUUCAUAUCGACGGCGGUGUUUGGCACCUCGAUGUCGGCUCAUCACAUCCUGGGGCUGAAGUAGGUCCCAAGGGUACGGCUGUUCGCCGUUUAAAGUGGUACGCGAGCUGGGUUUAGAACGUCGUGAGACAGUUCGGUCCCUAUCUGCCGUGGGCGUUGGAAGAUUGAAAGGGGCUGCUCCUAGUACGAGAGGACCGGAGUGGACGCACCACUGGUGUUCGGGUUGUCAUGCCAAUGGCAUUGCCCGGUAGCUAAGUGCGGAAGAGAUAACCGCUGAAAGCAUCUAAGCGGAAACUUGCCUUGAGAUGAGUCUUCCCUGACUCUUUAAGGGUCCUAAAGGAACGUUUAAGACUAAGACGUUGAUAGGUUGGGUGUGUAAGCGUAGCGAUACGUUGAGCUAACCAAUACUAAUGAACCGUGAGGCUUAACCUG